This 253-nucleotide ribosomal RNA is filed under the name uncultured bacterium. RNAcentral's name for it is "partial 16S ribosomal RNA". It matches the Rfam family "Bacterial small subunit ribosomal RNA", at positions 524 to 776 of the family's 1533-position model. The record is from RNAcentral.
GACGAACCACACAAACGUUAUUCGGAAUCACUGGGCUUAAAGGGUGCGUAGGCGGCGCGGAAAGUAGGGUGUGAAAUCCCUCGGCUCAACCGAGGAAUUGCGCCCUAAACUACCGUGCUCGAGGGAGAUAGAGGUGAGCGGAACUUAGGGUGGAGCGGUGAAAUGCGUUGAUAUCCUAAGGAACACCGGUGGCGAAAGCGGCUCACUGGAUCUCUUCUGACGCUGAGGCACGAAAGCUAGGGUAGCGAACGGG